UGGAAAUGUAAGUCUCUUGAAGGUAGGGAAUACUUCUUUUUACAUUUGUAUUUUCACUGCCUGAUACAGUUUUGACAUUUUUCAUUUAUUUUUAUUAAUUGAUUAAUACAAUGAGGAAUUGAAAGAAUGAUCAAGAGAGGAGAACUUUGAAAAGAAAAUGAUCAGCUGUCUGAAACAUUUUAUGGUAGGAGCCAAUACUAAAAGAUGGGUUUAUUCAUGAAGAUCUCUAGACUCUGUCUUCUAAAAGGUCAUGGGAGAAUAUUGUGGACUACAUGGUUAACACAUCUGAUAUAGUAGUCAAUGCCCCAGAUUUGGAGAUAGAAGACCUGGCUUAGACUAGAUCUCCUAUUUACUAUCACUAUGACCUUAGGCUCAGCACUGAUCACACAUUCUCCUGAAAGCAAAACCUACAAAUAAAAGAAUGCCUGCAAAGAAGAACCAAUUCUGGUUUGACCUGAACAACCUCACCA
Antechinus flavipes (yellow-footed antechinus) is the source of this 470-nucleotide long non-coding RNA. RefSeq lists it as uncharacterized. NCBI's taxonomy places the organism in Eukaryota, Metazoa, Chordata, Mammalia, Dasyuromorphia, Dasyuridae. The record is from RefSeq and is a predicted model, not a curated record. The transcript has 3 exons.